Non-coding RNA from Tetranychus urticae (two-spotted spider mite), 4470 nucleotides. NCBI's taxonomy places the organism in Eukaryota, Metazoa, Arthropoda, Arachnida, Trombidiformes, Tetranychidae. The record is from RefSeq and is a predicted model, not a curated record.
UUGUAGUUGUAAUGCUUUGCAGGCGGGUUGAAAAGUAACAACAGAAUUAAAUGAUACAUGUCAACUAAUUUUUUAAUUAGCGAUUGCUUUAGAUUUAAGAAUUAACAAUGGCGAAAAAUUAAACAAACUAAUCAAUAUUGGGUUAAGGGUUGAAAAUGAGGUUUAAGAAAGUAUCUAAUUUUCGGUUGUCUAACAGACAAUGUCUAUGAUACAAAAGGUGAAAAUGGGUUUGUUGGAGCCAUUUUUAUCUUAUCUGAUCUUGGUUACCAGCUACAUUGAAAUAGACUGUUGAACCGAUGAUUAAUCUGUUUCUUUGUUUCUUUUCUAAAGAAUAACUCAAAAGGCAACAACCAUCAACUGUAAAUCUGGUAAAUAAUCAUUCUAGUUUUGGAUCAGUUCGGCGAUUGACCUUUUGAAGAUCGACCGAGAAAGCUAAUCAUCUACAUAAAACCUUCUCUUUACUAACAUUGUUAAUUGUCAACGUCUCUUAUUAAAGGAUACCAUCUAAUAAUGAGGAGGAACCAAUUGACCAUACGGAACAAGACCAUUUUCAAGACAGGAUAGGAAAGCCAGCAAGUGACCGCCUUUGGGAAAACGUAUCGGUGAUCUUUGGACUCCAUCUUGACCCACAAGGACAACAGUACCACACGAAUCUUGCUGGUGGCAAUGAAGAUAUACAAUAUCUUCAACAUUAACGGUCAUCGCAUAAUCCCAAAAUGAGCUGUUGCAAAAACAAUCAACAAAAUGGUUCAAUUAUUACCAGUUAAUGAAAAUUUGGACUUGGUUUAUUCAUGAUAGCCAAAUGAUGUCAAAGCUGACCAAACAUUAUGAAUUUCAAUUGAAAUAGAGGCAAUCCAGUAACCUGUUGACAUAAACUUGUGUUUCAUUGAGUGUAAACAUGGAAAGUUUAUGAAUUGAAUUGACUUUUAUUGAUCAUUUUCUAGACUUUCUCAUGGAAAUGUUCACGCAGCUAAAUUUGAUUAGUGACAAUAUAUCAAUGGAACCAGAUGAUGAUUGAGAGUUGAUCAAAUGAAAAUAAAUGGAACGUUUAAAUAUUGAAAAUGCUAAGGUGAAACUGGUCAUGAAAUAAUGAUACAAUGCUAAAUCCUUUAGGCUGUUUAUUUCAAUUCCCUUCAAUCUACUAUAUCAACAUUCAUGGCAUGACAUUUGAGUAUUUAUUAUUUCCUUUCUGUGAAAUAUCUAUUCUAUUCAGCAUUUCAUUGGAAUGAUAUUUUUUCACCUUUUCAUUUCAACUAUUUUUCCAUUGGAUUGUACCUGUCUUUUACCUUCCUUAAGACAGCUUAGCCUCAAUCAUUUGAUUCCUUUGAUCAUUCAACUUCUAUUAAAUCGAUCAAUAAUAAUCAGCAAGUGCCACCAAAAUCAGCAAACAUGAAAAUUCAAUUUCAUUGGGUAACACAGUCGAGACUUGGCAAGAUCAAGAUGUUAAAUUUAAAGUCUGAAUUGAAACUGGAACCAUACAAGAUUCAAUCUCACAAUAUUCAUCUUAUAGUCGAGCUGAGUAUUUAAAGCAAGUCCUACAAGCUGGUUAUCAAACUGAACCCGAGUUAAAUGUCUAAUGGCCAAUUAACCCAUUCAUUAUAAACGCCAUAAUCUAGCAGCUUAUAUGUACCAUAUCAAUCAUCUCUGGUCAUUAUAAUCACUCAAACAAUCAUUAUUUAUCACUCUCAUUUGAUUAUAAUUUCCGAUCAACCUUGAAUCCAGCAAAAAGGUCCUUUCAACAUCUUAAUGCAUCCAAAGUUAUUCUCAUUUUACACUGAUGACUGAAAUUAAUCAUUGAGUAUGACAACUCCUAGAGUAUUGAUUAUAAUGGAAACAUCAUCAUCAUCAUAAAAUAUUCAAUGUUCCUUCAAUGAAAUGGUGAAGUAAAUCAGUUAAAUAUAUCUUUUUAUUCAAUGAAAGGCGAGAUUCUUCAAGCUAUUUAUCAGCUGCAGUUCAUUAUUUGAAUUUUCAUCUUUAUCGCCACAACAACCAUUCAGUCCAUUGUAUUGAAGUUUAAAAUAACCUUUCAAUCAAUAAUCAAUCUUUUACUAUUUUGGUUUGCAAUCACCUGGUAAUUCAAGUUGUAACUUGAAAUGAGUUUAAAAUGAGUUGUGAUGAAAAAUGGCGUUAACCAUUUCAACAGUUGACAGGUUAAUCAACUUGAAGACAACUCAAUGAGAACUGUUAACGAAUUAAAAUUUUGAGCCUUACAUUAGUUACUAAUAUAAAAAAAUUCAUGGAAUUGCAUGAUUCAAUGAGUAAACAUUAUCAAAAUGAGUUUCUAAAUUAGAUUAACAAGAAUUUGAACAUUAAAUUUUCGGGUUCUUGCCAACAUUAACAAAUUGGUAGAGAGAAAAGUUGACAACUUGCAUGAUUAAAUUACUAGACUAAAUAGUGAGUUCAACAAUUGUCUGGCAGUUAACACACAAUAUUUAACAAAUAAGGGUGAAAAAAUUGAUUCCGGUUUGUAUGUUUAAAUUGGUCCAAAAACCAAUUUGGUUUCAUCAAAUUCAGAAUCAACAGCAAGAAAAAUGAAAUUAAUUUAUGUAUUAGCUGAAUUGAGCAUGCGAUUUAAUCAUUAUCAUUAAUAUGAGUGAAUAUUAUUUAUCAUCUCCAAGGAAUGUUCAGAUGGGAAUGAAAAACUGGAAAAAAGCUGAUAACAAAAGAUAUCAAUAAAGGAGUCUGAAUAUUGUAAUAGAGUAGUGGAGGAAGGCAAAAUGAAGGAUAAAAUGGCGAUCACAUUAAUAAAGAUAUGAAUUUUUCGAUUAUAUGAAUAUAAUUAUCAUGUUUUCAAAUGUUGGUUCAUUUUGAAAGAAAAUAAAUCUUGUAAAAUCUUGUAAAUCUGAUAAAGAUCUGAUGUAUAUUGAAGUUUGUCUUGAUUUGCUGUUGUAUGGAAGGAAAGACAGUUUUGGUUUCCAUGAGAAGGAUAAAUAAAAAUUUAAAAUGAUGAGUUGAAAUUCAUUAAGUUUCAGUUGGAAGAGAUAACCACAGGGAGUUCACAUUCUGUUGAUUUUUUACUGAACUUUAGUUUUGUUGCAACUUGUUUGCAAAGCUUUCACUGUGAAUGAGAUUUUUCCAGAAAAUGAAAGGCACAUAAGACAAGUAUAGAAAACUAGAGAACCAGAAAACCCAAUUUUCAAGAUGGCAACGGAGCAACCAGAUAGGAUUUCAACCUCCUUUGAAAGAAAUAGAGAGAAGGUCAAUGAAAAACAGAAUCAUCAUGUUGAACUUACAGGAGAAAGGCUUGACUGAAGAAGAAAAUGGCUCAAAAAAUAAGAAACAUGAAUAGAGAGGGAAGACAUUUUAUAUUGUUAUAUUUAAUAUAACUUCAUGCCAAUAAUAAUCAAGAUUACGUUGUUUAACUUGCAAUACUAUCACAAUAAAUCAGAAUUAUGGAGUAAUCUCUCCAUGAAAAUUGAUUAAAACAAUGAACAUAUUUAUUAAACAAACAAUUAUAUUUUGAUUUUAAGGUGAAGUUGGAGCGUUUGAUUUGAGCGCUGUUACGAAUGAAGCGCCUUUUUUCAUAAAACAUAUGGUUUAAUGUAACGGCUUAAAAUUUAAUCAUCUUCUUACUUUCUUUUGUUACAUUUCUUGUCGUGUUUCUGGUUAAUUGAUUAAAUAACUGUUUUAUUAAUUACACCUUUUCUGUUUAAUUUAUUGAACCACUGUAGUUCACUUGUGAAACAAUCAGCUUUAAUUAGCAUGUUAGAUGGAUAUGUAACACAAAAACUUCCGGGUUUCUAUCCUCUAAUUCAAUUCCCAUGGAAGUUUGAAUCAUUUCUUGCGGAGGCGUAAGCAUAAAAUAAAUUCAUUGGACUGUACUAUUUGCCCUGGUUUUUGGCUUUGUUUUUAUUUCUUUUCAUGUUUGCUUAAGACAUAAAGAUGAAUUAGUGAGACUCAAUUUAUUGAUGUAUACAAAAGGUAAGUAAUGAUUAUAAUAACAAAAUCCGAGAUUGUUCCAGUAUUCGAUAUUUUAGUUAAAAGCGAAAUACAAGGUUAAUCUCAUGGUUGAAGGGUAAACUGAAUCUCAGAAAAAAAUCUAACUGAACAUCUAACUAGAUUUCUUUUCAUUUGAUAGCAUUAGAUUUGUAUCGUCUGCUGGUUUCGAUUGAAUUUGGUAAAUGAUAAUAGAAAAGAGAAAGGUUGAUGUAAUUGCAAACUGGUAAAUUGAUAAAUAAAUCCCAAAGAAAUGAUGAUUCGGACGUGAUAUAAUCUGGAGCAACAUUGGUAUCAACCAUUGGAUUGAGCAAAAAAAACGUUACUGGCUUUACUUGAUUGUCAAGUCAAAUUGUAAUCAAUUAGCUGGUAAAUUUGAUUGUUGCUUACCUUUUAUCCUGAGUUAUUGAUGGACUUUCAUUUGGGAUUCAACAUAAUCUCGAGGUGACCAGCUGGACAGACGAAGAUUCUCAUCGGAUGAACUUGAUAUUCUUGAAUCAGUGAUUGGUCCUCGACGAAAGGGUAAACCUAAUG